Molecule: ribosomal RNA, 1291 nt
Filed under: uncultured organism
Description: partial 16S ribosomal RNA
Rfam family: Bacterial small subunit ribosomal RNA
Source: RNAcentral
GAGCGGGAUAUGGGUGAGCAUCACGUUGGAAACUGCCUCAUAGUGAGGAAUAAGCCCUACAAAUAGGGCCUAAUACCGGAAAGCCCGGCAAGGACUAAGCUUCGGCGUGAUGAGAGGUGCCUGCGAUUGAUCAGCUUGUUGGGGGGGGCAACUCAUACCACCGCUAUGACGGGUAGGUGUGUUGAGAAGAUGAUCAGCCCCAUGGGAACUGAGACACCAUCCCCACUCCUACCCGAGUUGGCAGUAAGGAAUUUUGUGCAGUGCCCAGAAACCCUUGAUGAGCACUACCGCGAGAGGGAGGACGCCCUUUUGGAUUUAAACUUCUUUUCUGAGACAAUAGAUAUGAAUGUACCUCAAGAACAAGCACCGGCUAACUCCAGGCCAGCAGACCCUUCGGGAUCCUGCCAGCAAGCUGUAUCCGGAUUUAUUGGGCGUAAAGAGUCCGUCGACGUUUUGCUAAUAAGAAAUCCAAGACCAGAGCCCCACUCUGGCCCGGUAUUCUAAACUGUCCAAAUUGAGUGAUGCAGAGGCAAGUGCACUCUGUGUGUAGGGGUUAUUCCGUAGAUAUACAGAGGAACACCAAAAGCGAAGGCAGCUUGCUGGGCUUUUACUGUCGCUCAAGGACGAAAGCGUGGGGAGCGAACAGGAUUAGAUACCCUGGUAGUACACGCCCUAAACGAUGAUUACUCGUUGUCGGAGGCUUCGACCCCUUCGGUGACUAAGCUAACGCUUUAAGUAAUCCGCCUGGGUAGUACGGCCGCAAGGUUAAAUCUCAAAGGAAUAGACGGGGACCCACACAAGCGGUGGAGCAUCUGGUUUAAUUCGACAAUAAGCGAAAAACCUCACCAAGAUUUGACAUCCCGAGAAGAUUGCCGAAAGGUGAUUGUGCCGUAAGGAACUCGGUGACAGGUGCUGCAUGGUUGUCGUCAGCUCGUGCCUUGAGGUGUUCGGUUAAGUCCGUAAACGAGCGCAACCCAUGUCUUAAGUUGUAUUUUUCUUAAGAGACUGCCGGCUUCAAGUCGGAGGAAGGUAUGGAUGACGUCAAAUCAGCAUGGCCCUUGUGUCUUGGGCGACACAGGUGCUACAAUGGUCGGUACAGUAGGCAGCGACGGGGCAACCCAGAGCCAAUCCUUAAACCCGGUCCAAGUUCGGAUUGAGGGCUGAAAUUCGCCCUCAUGAAGCUGGAAUCGCUAGUAACCGUGAAUCAGCAUGUCACGGUGAAUAUGUUCCUGGGUCUUGUACUCACCGCCCGUCAAGUCAUGAAAGAUGGGGGCGCCCGAAGUCCCUUUAG